RNAcentral lists this ribosomal RNA (253 nucleotides) under uncultured bacterium. RNAcentral's name for it is "partial 16S ribosomal RNA". It matches the Rfam family "Bacterial small subunit ribosomal RNA", at positions 524 to 776 of the family's 1533-position model. The record is from RNAcentral.
UACAGAGGCCCCAAGCAUUACCCGGAAUCACUGGGCGUAAAGGGUGUCUAGGCGGCCGUAUUAGUCGUUCGUUAAAUCCCUGGGCCUAACCCAGGGGCUGCGAGCGAAACGGUACGGCUCGAGGGCGCGAGAGGUGCACGGAACUCAUGGUGGAGGGGUGAAAUCCGUUGAUAUCAUGGGGAACACCAAAGGCGAAGGCAGUGCACUGGUGCGUUCCUGACGCUCACACACGAAAGCCAGGGUAGCGAACGGG